AUGCCAUGAUGAGGACAUAUUUUAAGCAACUCUUUAAAUCUCUCACAAGCUUCAUACGAGCUCUCAUCUUCAAGUUGGUGAAAAGAGGGGAUCUCAUUUCGAAAUUU
Citrus sinensis (sweet orange) is the source of this 107-nucleotide non-coding RNA. Lineage: Eukaryota; Viridiplantae; Streptophyta; Magnoliopsida; Sapindales; Rutaceae. The record is from Rfam.